Molecule: ribosomal RNA, 431 nt
Filed under: uncultured bacterium
Lineage: Bacteria
Description: bacterial SSU rRNA
Rfam family: Bacterial small subunit ribosomal RNA
Source: RNAcentral
AAUCAACGCUGGCGGCGUGCCUCAGACAUGCAAGUCGAACGCGAAAGUUCCCUUCGGGGGGCGAGUAGAGUGGCGCACGGGUGAGUAACACGUAGGUAAUCUACCUUUGGGUGGGGAAUAACAGCCGGAAACGGCUGCUAAUACCGCAUAAUGCAGCGGCUCGACAUCGAGACAGUUGUUAAAGCGGGGGAUCGCAAGACCUCGCGCCUAAAGAGGAGCCUGCGGCGGAUUAGCUUGUUGGUGAGGUAAUGGCUCACCAAGGCAUCGAUCCGUAGCCGGCCUGAGAGGGCGGUCGGCCACACUGACACUGACAUACGGGUCAGACUCCUACGGGAGGCAGCAGUCGGGAAUUUUGGGCAAUGGGCGCAGGCCUGACCCAGCAACGCCGCGUGAAGGAUGAAAUCCCUCGGGAUGUAAACUUCGCAAGAACA